This 1394-nucleotide long non-coding RNA is filed under the name Strigops habroptila (Kakapo). RNAcentral's name for it is "lncRNA (ENSSHBG00005017835.1)". Lineage: Eukaryota; Metazoa; Chordata; Aves; Psittaciformes; Psittacidae. The record is from RNAcentral.
UAGUAGCAAGAAGUUCUUUAUUUCACCUAUACAUUUCCAGGGAACGUUAUUUACUAAUAGAUUAUGAUCUGGUCAAAAUGAUCUAUACAUUCAUUACAUCUAGAGUGGGCUUUCAUAACUCACAGCAUCUAAGAAUGAGGCAAAACUCGCAUUUGUUUAUAGUGCAGCAAUUCUGCUCAGCAAAAAAAAGGUGCAGUGAAAGUACUGUCCUAAGCACCUUGUGAUCUGCUCUGAGCCCUGGGUAAUAUCUCAUGCCAACUCAAAAGCCUCAGAAGAGCGGGGAGGUGGCUGCUUCAGAAUACAGCAGUUCUCUCUGCAAAUAAGUGGUCCUGCAAGCUUAGUGCGGUCAUGGAUAAGGUUAUCUCGCAGAGGGAAUCUUCACAGCGGAACAAAACAUUUGGAGAAGAGAAGAUUGAAAUGAAGCUAAAGCAUUCUCAAUAUCAGAUUUUACAUGCGGUUUUUUUUCAAUCACACAAAAGGAAGAAAGAGAACAAGAAAAUGAGUUAGAGGAAGAUGAAGGCAGAGAUGGUCUUUUAGGCAAAGCUACUUUUUUACUCUCUGAAUUUACAGUCCUGAUAGACAUCUUUAUUCAAAAUUACUCUUUUUUUUUUUUUUAUAUUCAGAUACUACAGUUUUCAAUACUAGGUCCUAGAUUUGUCUGGACAGAUUACCCUCUUAUUCCCACAAUGAAACUUAAUUAUCCUUUUUAUGUCUUCAGAUACUUUCAGUCUUUUCCUGAACCAUUUCUGGGGACAGAGAGUAUCUGAUGGGUCAGUCAGAAAGGCAAGUAUUGUUCAUCUCUGUUGGCCACAAGUUUUUGAGGGCAGAAGCCCUUCGGCCCCAGGUCUCUUUAGAAAGACCUUGAGCACUACUAUAUAAUUUACUUGGACCUACUUUUGCUGAGCUUUUAUUUUUAUUAUUAGGCAAAAACUUGUCCUUUUCUCAGCACCUUUCUGUGUGUUACUUGGAAGCAUCUUAAUGUGAGUAACUCACCUGGAAUCUGUAAAAGGAUAUUUGAAUGAUUCAUCUCUGAGACAAAAAUAACCCCUCAUGAAAUCCAGGAUGAAAAUGACUGCAAGGUUUAAAACGCACCUUCCUAUGUAUCAUUGCUGUUGCAGCGGGAAGGAAUGCAUCUGAGUAGUUAAAGUCCAAAUAACCAAGUAAAUUGGUUCAAAGCAGCAGUAGUAGUACAGAGGGUCCUGUAAGUUACCAGUAUUGAGUAGUUACUAGACUUCAGGACACUUUCUUGGUUUCAUCUGUAACAAAGCCUAUAACAUACGUUAUCCAUUAUCACUACCUUCUGUGUCUGAGCAAAACUGAGUAGUUAACAUGGAAAGGUUGCAUAAGGUAAUCCAAGACUUGCAAGUAGUAAAGAGAAAAUUAUAAUGAGUAUC